This 485-nucleotide ribosomal RNA is filed under the name uncultured bacterium. RNAcentral's name for it is "bacterial SSU rRNA". It matches the Rfam family "Bacterial small subunit ribosomal RNA", at positions 28 to 509 of the family's 1533-position model. The record is from RNAcentral.
GAUGAACGCUAGCGGCAGGCCUAACACAUGCAAGUCGAGGGGCAGCACAGGUAGCAAUACUGGGUGGCGACCGGCGGAUGGGUGCGUAACGCGUAUGCAACCUACCAUUGAUUGGGGCAUAGCCCGAAGAAAUUCGGAUUAAUACUCCAUAAUAUUCAUCAAAGGCAUCUUUUAUGAAUUAAAGCUUUUGCGAUCAAUGAUGGGCAUGCGUGACAUUAGUUAGUUGGUGAGGUAACGGCUCACCAAAACGAUGAUGUCUAGGGGUUCUGAGAGGAUUAUCCCCCACACUGGUACUGAGACACGGACCAGACUCCUACGGGAGGCAGCAGUGAGGAAUAUUGGUCAAUGGACGCAAGUCUGAACCAGCCAUGCCGCGUGCAGGAUGACGGCCCUAUGGGUUGUAAACUGCUUUUCCACGGGAAGAACCCUCCGACGUGUCGGAGACUGACGGUACCGUGGGAAUAAGCAUCGGCUAACUCCGUGCC